UCACAGCCUCAGCCCAAAAUUUCAUUCC
RNAcentral lists this small RNA (28 nucleotides) under Bombyx mori (domestic silkworm). RNAcentral describes it as "ovarian small RNA-25011". The record is from RNAcentral. Lineage: Eukaryota; Metazoa; Arthropoda; Insecta; Lepidoptera; Bombycidae.